GACGAACGCUGGCGGCGUGCUUAACACAUGCAAGUCGAACGGAAAGGCCCUGCUUUUGCGGGGUGCUCGAGUGGCGAACGGGUGUGUAACACGCGAGUAACCUGCCCUUGACUUUGGGAUAACUUCACGAAACUGGGGCUCAUACCGGAUAUGAGCUCCUGCUGCAUGGUGGUGGAUGGAAAGUUUCGGCGGUUGGGGAUGGACUCGCGGCUUAUCAGCUUGAUUGUGGGGUAGUGGCUUACCAAGGCUGCGACGGGUAGCCGGCCUGAGAGGGUGACCGGCCACAUUGGGACUGAGAUACGGCCCAGACUCCUACGGGAGGCAGCAGGGGGGAAUAUUGCGCAAUGGGCGGAAGCCUGAUGCAGCAACGCCGGGUGCGGGAUGACGGCCUUCGGGGUGUAAACAGCUUUCGCCUGUGACGAAGCGUGAGUGACGGUAAUGGGUAAAGAAGCACCGGCUAACUACGUG
RNAcentral lists this ribosomal RNA (468 nucleotides) under uncultured bacterium. Its description in RNAcentral is "partial 16S ribosomal RNA". It matches the Rfam family "Bacterial small subunit ribosomal RNA", at positions 28 to 507 of the family's 1533-position model. The record is from RNAcentral.